Molecule: ribosomal RNA, 880 nt
Filed under: uncultured archaeon
Lineage: Archaea
Description: bacterial SSU rRNA
Rfam family: Archaeal small subunit ribosomal RNA
Source: RNAcentral
UCCGGUUGAUCCUGGCGGAGGCUACUGCUAUCGGAGUCCGAUUUAACCAUGCUAGUCCACCGAGUCUUUGACUCGGGGCGGAUAGCUGAGUAACACGUGACUAACCUGCCCUAUGGAUGGAGAUAACCUCGCUAACGUGAGGCCAAUAUCCAAUAGCAGAUGAUUGCUGGAAAGCGUCGUCUGUGAAAUGUUCCGACGCCAUAGGAUGGAGUCGCGGCUGAUUAGGUUGUUGGUGAGGUAACGGCUCACCAAGCCCGUAAUCAGUAACAGCCGUGAGAGCGGGAGCUGUCAGUUGGCUUCUGAGACAAGAAGCCAGACCCUACGGGGUGCAGCAGGCACGAAACCUUCACAAUGCACGAGAGUGCGAUGGGGGGACUCCGAGUGUAAUCUUCCCACAAGGAAGGUUACUUUUCUGCACUGUAAGGAGGUGCCGGAACAAGGGGUGGGCAACACUGCUGCCAGCCGCCGCGGUAAUAGCAGGACCCCAAGUGGUAGUCGUUAUUAUUGGGCUUAAAGUGUUCGUAGCCUGCCAUGCAAGUCCGCUGUGAAAUCCACGCGCUCAACGUGUGGGCGUGCAGCGGAUACUGUAUGGCUAGGGACCGGACGGCGUUGAGGCUAUUCCCGGGGUAGGAGUGAAAUCCUAAAAUCCUGGGAGGAGCACCUGUGGCGAAAGCGCUCAACGAGUACGGAUCCGACGGUGAGGAACGAAAGCCAGGGGAGCAAAGCGGAUUAGAUACCCGCGUAGUCCUGGCCGUUAACAAUGUCCGUUUGAUGUCGGCUAACCUCCGAGGUUAGCCGGUGCCGAAGUGAAAACGUUAAACGGACCGCCUGGGAAGUACGGUCGCAAGGCUGAAACUUAAAGGAAUUGACGGGGGAGCAC